This 486-nucleotide ribosomal RNA is filed under the name uncultured bacterium. Its description in RNAcentral is "partial 16S ribosomal RNA". It matches the Rfam family "Bacterial small subunit ribosomal RNA", at positions 30 to 507 of the family's 1533-position model. The record is from RNAcentral.
AUUGAACGCUGGCGGCAGGCCUAACACAUGCAAGUCGAGCGGAAACGCUGUAGCUUGUUACAGUCGUCGAGCGCCGGUGGGGUGAGUAUCGGGUAGGAAUCGGCCUCGUAGUUGGGGACAACAUGAGGAUAGGCAUGCUAAUACUGCUAACGCCUUCCGCGUGCAAGUAGGGGAACUUCGGAUUUUUCGCUAUUAGAUGAGCCUGCGUCAGAUUAGCUAGUUGGUAGGGUAAAGGCCUACCAAGGCGACGAUCAGUAGCUGGUCUGAGAGGAUGACCAGUCACACUGGAACUGAGACACGGCCCAGACUCCUACGGGAGGCAGCAGUGGGGAAUAUUGGACAAUGGGCGCAAGCCUGAUCCAGCCAUGCCGCGUGUGUGAAGAAGGCCUUAGGGUUGUAAAGCACUUUCAGUGGUGAAGAAAAGUGUUUGGUUAAUAUCCAGAUAUUUUGACGGUACCCAAAGAAGAAGCACCGGCUAACUCUGUG